GACAGGGGGCAGCCAAGAAAAAAAAGGAAUCUAACAAAACAAAUCAGCUCCGAUAAGUAAUAGAACAACUUCUUUAUUUCCUCCAACAAUCCCAAGUCACUUCACCGUCUCCAACGAUUCGUCGUAAAUCUUUUUGAUUUGUCUUUCUAGUUUAGUGUUCCCAACAUGCAGAACCUCUCCAAUGGGUUUCUGGAUUCUCCAUCAGCCUUUACCAGUCAAAGGUCAUCUGGGUUCUAGAAAUAUCAUCCUCAAAGUACUUUAGAGUGCAAUGUAAAGAAUUGGAUCGUGAUCCUGAAAAGGCUAUGUAGCAGCAGACACAUCACAAAAACUGGAGGUUUUUCCCAAAGUAAUGAGAAGAUAAGACAGAAACUGUUCAGGGACAAGCGAUUAUUUUUACGGCGUUCCGGUUAGGCAAUUAAAAUCUGCUGCAUUCUUCUCGUGUCUGGACUAAAAAAUGGGGCUAAACCACAGACGUGUCUCUAAAAGCAUUAACCUUUGUCCACAAUUCCAAGAGUUAACUUUGAUACAACAACAUUAUCAUCUGUUAUGAAAAGAACCCCAUGGAACACGGUGGAAGUAGAAUCAUGACCUUGGAUCUUUUUUUUGGAUGGAACAGGGUUUUUGUUAAAGGGGCAGCAUUAUGUAUUUUCUAGGCACAUAGUACCAUAUUAAAGCACAAUCAAGAACUAUGUAACCUUCAGUUCUAAAAAUACCAUAUAUAUUAAACAUGACAG
This is a long non-coding RNA of Xiphophorus couchianus (Monterrey platyfish), 734 nucleotides long. RefSeq lists it as uncharacterized. The record is from RefSeq and is a predicted model, not a curated record. The transcript has 3 exons. Lineage: Eukaryota; Metazoa; Chordata; Actinopteri; Cyprinodontiformes; Poeciliidae.